This 525-nucleotide unclassified non-coding RNA is filed under the name Hevea brasiliensis (rubber tree). Lineage: Eukaryota; Viridiplantae; Streptophyta; Magnoliopsida; Malpighiales; Euphorbiaceae. The record is from RNAcentral.
GGGAGAUCAGCAACUUUGAGUAUCUAAUGCAGCUUAACACACUGGCCGGACGUAGUUACAAUGACAUUACUCAGUAUCCUGUGUUCCCCUGGGUCAUUUCUGAUUAUACUUCAACCGACUUGGAUUUCACUAAUCCAUCAUCUUACCGGGACCUCUCAAAGCCAGUUGGAGCAUUAAAUCCUGACCGAUUAAGGAAGUUUCAAGAGAGAUACUCUAGUUUUGAUGACCCUGUCAUCCCAAAGUUCCACUAUGGCUCACAUUACUCAAGUGCAGGAACAGUGUUAUAUUAUCUAAUCAGGCUGGAGCCCUUCACUACCCUAUCUAUUCAUCUCCAAGGUGGCAAAUUUGAUCAUGCAGACAGGAUGUUCUCAGAUAUUGCUGCCACUUGGAAAAGUGUUCUUGAGGAGAUGAGUGAUGUUAAAGAGUUGGUUCCGGAGCUAUUUUAUCUUCCAGAGAUGCUAACAAAUGAGAAUUCGAUUGAAUUCGGUACGACACAGUUGGGAGAAAAGCUGGACUCUGUGCGGC